RNAcentral lists this long non-coding RNA (865 nucleotides) under Homo sapiens (human). RNAcentral's name for it is "HSALNT0275542". The record is from RNAcentral. Lineage: Eukaryota; Metazoa; Chordata; Mammalia; Primates; Hominidae.
CAUCUGCACCCCCAUCAUAGGUAGAGACCCCACCCUCCCAUCGGUCCUACAUGGGGCUGUGCAGCUGGAGCCAAAAAGGCAAGGCAAGGGCGGAGCAUGUGUCUUGGGCCCACACCUGCUUAGUUUAUGAGGACCGGCUGCUUUCCAGUGGUAGCCCUUUUGCCAUGGAGGUCUGGGAGAGAGAGCAGAGGGCGGCAGGGCUAAGUUGGUGAUCAUUGGGUUCUUCAGGACCUUCUAUAUCCCUCCUCGGUAACCCCCCAGCCCAACCCCUUGGAAUCUUUCCUCCAGGCUUCCUGAGAGCCCUGGGGGUGGGAGGCUGUGGGAGGCUGUACAUCUGAAAUUCACUUCAGUCCAAGUCAUACCUAGGAAGCUGUCUGGGCAGCUGCUCGAGGGAGGCCCUGGCUCUGAUCCCAGGCUGGAUGGAGUGGCUGGAAGGAAUGGUUCCAAACAACACCACCGAGAUCUCCCUCAGGCUGGCCAGGUUUUGCAGCUGGAAUUCUCCUCUUGGUCCCAGGGCGGGGCAGGGAAUUCUAAGUGUCCACCCCAGGGAGGCAAGGGGCUGCUUUCCACUGUGGGUACCUGGUGAUCAGGGCAAGCUGUGGAGGGCCAGGGGUGGGGCUGAGACUGGGCUGACAUCUAGAAUCACCUGCCACCUGGAGCCUCAGUAAAAUGCCUGGGGUCCCUGCUGCCUCUCAAUCUCCAGAGCCAUGUCCAUGGGGAGGUGGGCUCUGAAGGGCGAAGGUGGGAGAGCAGGGCCCCUGAGGCCUGGGUAUCCAAGGAGGGGCACGUGCACCUGAUUCUCCUUGGGGCCCAGAGGAAGCUGAUGUCAUGGCUGGACAAAGUCACGGAGUAAAGCCAGCAAAGC